This 1299-nucleotide long non-coding RNA is filed under the name Prunus dulcis (almond). RNAcentral describes it as "sRNA ncRNA". The record is from RNAcentral. Lineage: Eukaryota; Viridiplantae; Streptophyta; Magnoliopsida; Rosales; Rosaceae.
AGUUUGGGGAAUCCGAGCAAGAUUGUCAAAAAAUAAAAAGGCUAGAGUUAUAAAGGAGAUCAACUUGUAUAGGAAGAAAUCCAAACUUGGAAGGCAGAUCUCUGACAUUUGUAGAUCUGGGGUGGAAGAGUCGGUGGGAGGAGUAAAUUCAGUCCAACCAAUGGUUUCAAGAGGAGUAAUGGGGAGGCUUGGCUCUCUAAAGUUGACUAUAUGGGGAGUUUUUCUAGUCAUCUAUUAUCAUCGCUCGGGCCAUUUCUCCCAUCAAGACAACAAACACUUUCUUUGUCCCUGGAGCCCCUCACAAACCAAGCUAUUUUUAGAUUUUUGCCUUCCUAGAAACAAAAAUCUAUCAGCCCACAAACAAACACCACAAAAGAAAUCCCUAUCCUCUGUUUUAUGCGUUGAAGGCUGGUGGUACAAGAUAAGUUCGUACGGAAGAUCUGGUAAUAAGGUUGGAGGAAUCGCUGGACAUAUCAAAUUUAGAGAGUGGGCCAAAACUGGCAGGAGCAUUCAUUCAUAACAGGGAAAAUCCCAAACAGAUGAGCAAUAAAAACAAUCCUUCAGAAUGCGUGGGCUCUCUUCGGAGAAGCAAAAAUUUCUUAUAUUAAGGAUAAUGUUUUCACUGUGGUGGUUCAAGAUGAAGAUAUGGCUGAUCAGAUUAUAAACGAAGGUCCCUGGUCUGUAACGGGUUUCUGUUUCAAUGUUCAACGCUGGCCAAGCAACAUGGCCAUAGAGGAACUGCCACUCCACAAGGUGGCUUACUGGAUCCAAGCCCAUGGGAUCCCUUUGAAUUUACUCACUGCAGGGAACGCUCUAGAGAUUGGUGAAAGCUGGGAGAGGUAAAAGAAGUUUAAGACCCUUGGGAGAAAGGUUCAAGAAGCUUCUUGCUCAUGAGAGUUAUGAUUGAUUCCAACAAUCCCCUCCCUCAAAUAUUCGGCUGCCUCGUGCUUAAUAACAUGGUACAUGGGUGGAAUUCAAAUUUGAGCGACUAUCAGAUUUCUGUUUCAACUGUGGUAAGCUUGGUCAUCUUCAGAGGAAUUGCAGCUCCAGUAAUAGCCAAUCGGACAACUCUGAACCUACAGCCUAUUGUGAAUGGAUGAAAACCAGAGCAAUUUGUGAUAGUAGAGCUCUAAUCAACACACAAGCUCUGAGAGGAGUUCGGAGGAGAGCAGGACAAAUAGGAGGGGUUAACCCUGGGGUUCUGGUGGCGCGUGUACACCAAUCCGGAGAUGGAAGCAGUGGUAUGCCCCAUGUCACACAACUACCAACCAGUACAAAUCAAGAAGCUUGGAAAAUGAG